CGCGUCUUGAGCCCGUACUCCCGCCAAGGUCCCGGUAGCCGUGUGCUGAAGUGCUUGCAAUGAAGACAAGGCUGAGGGAGCUAUAGUUAUUUAGCUUGAAGAAGGGAAGGCUGUGGGGAGGCCUCGUUGUGGCCUUCGGGUGCCUAAAGGAAGCUACUAAGCUCGAGGAGAGUGACUUUUCACUCAGGUUGCUACUUUGAGAGCUGAGCUGCAAGCAGUAGCAUGAGAUAACUUUUCAGUGUGACUACAAAUAGCUGUUGUGAAGCCAGGCAUCCAGGAUGGAGG
RNAcentral lists this long non-coding RNA (285 nucleotides) under Gallus gallus (chicken). Its description in RNAcentral is "long non-coding RNA NONGGAT005286". Lineage: Eukaryota; Metazoa; Chordata; Aves; Galliformes; Phasianidae. The record is from RNAcentral.